AGAGAAACAUUAUCCCUAAAACUAUCCAAGUAACGUUACAUGUCAAACAAUUUUCUUCUUUAAACUUCAACAACUUUUAGCUCUAUGGAGCUCACAAAUACUGCUUUAUCAGGCAUUAACUGUUAUAUGUAAGAUGAAAUGAAAAUGACAUCGAAAAUUUUCUGAAGACAGUCAUGUUCGUGUGAUUUUUGUUCAACUUUUAAUAAAUUGACGUGAAAUUGUAUGUUUAAUGAUUUUAAUUAAUUAGUCAUGCCUUUUGAUUAAUACAAACUUGAUAAUCACACAAUAUUACUGAUCUAAAUUACUUUCUUCCUACAACUGACUAUUAAAUUUGUGAAUUUCAGUGAACACCAGAAAGAGCUCCAGAGGCAGGGGCUUACCCCUCUUCAGGAUGCUGAAAGACACAUUCAUCUAGGACGAGAUAAACACAGUUUUUUCAAAAUAUAUUGAUGGAAUUAAAGGACAUGGUGUUUUUGCAGAAGAUUUCAUUGGGAAGGGAUCCUUCAUUAUCGAGUACCACGGAGCUCUGUGUGAAGAAAACAAGUUUAAUAAAAUCUCAAAUCCAUACAUAUAUUAUUUUAAAGAUAAUGGAAAAGAUUAUUGGUAAGUACAAUAUACCUGAUGUGCAUGUAGAUAUGACAGCCAAAAUCAAAUUUCAUUAAUUUAAUUAAUGAACUAUGUGGGUUAUUGUUGUCAAUAGUACUGCUACUUUGGUACAUAUUCCAUGCUAAGAGCUCUCAAAUGGUCCCAUGUGUAUUUGUUUGCAGUCUGUCAAGACUGUCAAAGGUUUCUAUUUACAAAAUGUUUUUGCAGCGUUGAGCAUUGUAGCCAACCACAGACGUGUUUGCUGAUCACCUAAAUGCAAUGGCUAAUCAGAGGCAAAUUGCAAUUAAUUUUGUUCAAACCCGUUUAAUAAUCCAGCUUUGAUCAUAAAGGAAGUGCUUUUGGUCUGUUUCUAUUUGUAACUUUUUUCUGUUUUGGUAUUUAACCCAUUUAAACCCAUUCAAAAUCUGAUUUGUUAGAGUAGAUCUGUGCAUU
Long non-coding RNA from Cyprinus carpio (common carp), 1038 nucleotides. Lineage: Eukaryota; Metazoa; Chordata; Actinopteri; Cypriniformes; Cyprinidae. The record is from Ensembl.